Molecule: transfer RNA, 76 nt
Filed under: Bacillota bacterium
Lineage: Bacteria; Bacillati; Bacillota
Description: Firmicutes bacterium (anaerobic digester metagenome) tRNA-Arg
Rfam family: tRNA
About the family: Transfer RNA (tRNA) molecules are approximately 80 nucleotides in length. Their secondary structure includes four short double-helical elements and three loops (D, anti-codon, and T loops).
Source: RNAcentral
GGCCCCGUAGCUCAGCGGAUAGAGCAGCGGUUUCCUAAACCGUGUGUCGGAGGUUCGAUUCCUUUCGGGGCCGCCA